CUUGUUAUCAAAAUUUCCUAAAUCGCUAUUUUUCAUCUGCAUCAUCUUCAUCUUGCAACCAUUCCCUCUGUUUACAUUUUAUACAGAUAGAUUGGUCACAAAAAUGCUAAGAAAUGACCAUUUAUUUUUUUUUUCGCCAUGUUUACUACUUAUCAGAAAAUUACUCAACUUACUUUAUUCAGUUUUUAUCUUUUACAUAAACAAUCCAUAAAAACUGGCCAAAUACAAUAAUUACAAAGUCUAUCAGGUUUUAUUAUUUCACUCCAAGUUAUAUAAAUAUCUAUUUAUCAUCAUUAUUUUUACCUUUUAUAAUUUAGCUUCCAAUGCCUGGUUUGUUAAUAGUUCAAUCUAAUCAACUAUAUGCAUCUUUAAGGCUGUCCAGUUGAUAUAUAAAACUUUAUACUCCAUUUACAAAUGACCAGCCAAAUGUUGGCAAUUUACUUUUCUUUUGCCAGGAUCGCCAUUACGUAAGUGUCCACCUAAUCCAUUCAAAUGAUAUUGUGGUCAAGUUUAUGCGUCAAGGAAUUGAAAAUGUAAAAUUGGCCAAUCAAUCAAUGGUUAUACAAUCCAGUCCAAUGGAUGAUCAAUGCAACGUCUUCUCGUCUCAUUUCAAUCAGCAAUUCAUUAGUGGACUUGAUAAUUCAACAAUAAUUGUUCAGCUUGAUUAAUCGUUUCAUCGGUUGGCUCCAACAUUGUACAUCUUUUGAUAUAAAUAUAAGUUCCAAUCUUAAUGAAUAAUACAAAAUUAUCAUGGAAAUGAUGAAGACGUCAAGCUAAUGAUAGAGAGCAUGAGCUCAAACGAUGGUUCAACUCGGCAAAGCAUCUUAAAGAUGCUACUGAUCCUGUUGAUGACGAAGUAAACUUUAUAGGACUUUAUUUGGGCCUCCAACUUGUCUUCAAUUUUAUCCUCUAUCUUAUUCCCAUCUUUGGAUAACAGGCUGUAAAAAUAUGGCCAACAUGAUUACAUUUUUUUAAAAUGUUCAGCUUCUCCAGCUUUUAUACCAUUUCUUGUAAGACAAUCACAUAAUUUAUUAUUCAAUAUUAAAUUUUCCUUGAUUAUUUUGAAUUAAAGCUUGGUUAUUACGGGUAAAGUUGAAUGAACAGGCAACAGAAAAAUGUCUCACAAUCCAUUUAUAAGAUGAAAUUUGGCGAUGACCUUUGUCAACAAUAGAAAGCUUAUCGCCAUUAUCCUCUUACUUGCUCUACUGUAGUUGUUGAUGUUGCUGAUGAUGAUGAUGAUGAUGGCGAUGAUUGAACAACGAAUUGGAAAAUAAUUUAAUUUUAUUUGAUAAAUGGUAUCACAUUUGGUUUAAGGGAUUUUCAUUUAACAGCAAAUAAAGUGAAGAGCAACUGAGGAAGCAAAAAGACGAGAGGGAAAAAUUUGCAUUAAGGCAACUUUCAAAAUGUUGACAAUGCAAAAAUAAUAAUGAUCAUGAUGGGAUGAUGAUGUUUAUUAAUAUAAAUUGUUGUAAACUAAACACCUUGUUAAGUAAUUUAAAAUAUAACAGCAAAUGAUAAAGACUAUAUCAUUUAUUUAAAAAAAGCAAAAAUAAGAAUAACAAAACUAAAAGCAAAAGUAGCCGCUCUUUUGGAUAAAUCACGUGACGUUUAUAAGCAUUAAAAGGAUUGAUUCAGCAUUUUUGCUCAAGUAUUAUCAACAUAAUUGAGACGUAUUUUAUAAUUUGUUUAACUAUAUUUAAUUUAUUAUGUGUUAUCUACCAACAUUUAAACACUCCUAACAUCUAAUGGUUAUAUUACUUGAUUGAAUUUUGGCGAUUCUUGUGUCUAAAACUAUCAUAAGUUAUGGAGAGACUGUGCCUUAUAAAUAAUGGAUGGCCAAUGGGAUGCAAAAUUUACUCAAUAAAGUGAUCGAGUCAAGGAUUCCAUUGAAACACUGACAAACAUGUAACAAAAUGGAUGAAUACGAGAACCGUAAAUGCAAAUGGGGCGAUGAGAGCCGAUUUAUCAGCGUCUACGCUUACAAUAAAACCGUGUUUGAUUUGGUUAUUAUUAUAAUAUUUUUAAAGUAUUAUACGUUCUUGUUUCUGUUUAGCUCGUUCUGUGGAUGUUAUUAUUUAACACCAACAUAGUUAUGGUGAAUCACCAUCUUACUUGGCCCUGCUUUCAAGAUCACCAUCUUUUAUUUUCAAUCUUGUUUAACCCACCCUCAGCCACCCCUUGAUCAUCAUAACUGUAAUCAUCAUCGUCAUGAUCAUCUUCCAAGGAAAAGGACUUUUCUAUCGCUCUCUUUUUUACAACAUUUCAAUUAAGGAUGAGGGAACAUUAAGUGAAUGGCUUGAAGAUGAAGACGAAAAAGCUUCCGUUAUAUACAUUGGAACCAUUAUACAAUGGACUUUAUUAUUCUCCUUGUUGAUGAUAAUGAUGAUUGGCCUGUCUUCUCGUCUUCUUCAUCAUCUUCUCUCAUCCUUCUUUGCUCUUACCAAAAAGCUUUAAUGUUAUCCUUCAGUCUCUUCAACAUCUUAUUCAUACUCAAUGGGACUUUCACAUCAUCAUACGUCUCAUUUAUUUUUGUCUUUACAACUGCACAUUUCAAUUUGAUCAACGGUUAUAUGGCGAAAAGAAAUUGCUUCAAUUAAUCUUAUCGUUAUUAUUAUUAUUACCAUUAUUGUGAUUAUGAUUUUGCUGAUUAUUAUUCCCAUUAUUCAUUUAUAGAUGUUAAAGAGUCUCUUUUUCGUUGUGUACUAAACCUCAUCUCAUUGAACAAAUUGAAUAUGUUUAAUAACCUUUCUUUAUUGACCAAUGAAUAUUAAUGGGGUUAAUCAUCUUUCCUAUUUGACAGUUAAAGAAGCCAACCUUAAAACAAUGAACAAUUCCAGAUGAGUUCCUAAUCAUUACCCAUUUGAAAAUGUAUAAACAUGUUGGAAAGGCUGGGAUUUCUUGGUUUCAAUUCAAUACUUGUUUUUAAUUCUAGAGCUUAAUCCAAUUGGCAAUGUCAGACGAAAUUAUGUAACCCGAACCACAGGCAAAGGACGGAUAAACUGAACCAGGAAAAAAAUUUUCAGCCCAUUUACCAUAGA
Molecule: long non-coding RNA, 3038 nt
Organism: Tetranychus urticae (two-spotted spider mite)
Lineage: Eukaryota; Metazoa; Arthropoda; Arachnida; Trombidiformes; Tetranychidae
Source: RefSeq, a predicted model, not a curated record